RNAcentral lists this ribosomal RNA (431 nucleotides) under uncultured bacterium. Its description in RNAcentral is "partial 16S ribosomal RNA". It matches the Rfam family "Bacterial small subunit ribosomal RNA", at positions 29 to 507 of the family's 1533-position model. The record is from RNAcentral.
AACGAACGCUGGCGGCAGGCCUAACACAUGCAAGUCGAGCGCCCUUUCGGGGGAGCGGCGGCCGGGUGCGUAACGCGUGGGAAUAUGCCCUUCUCUACGGAAUAGCCUCGGGAAACUGAGAGUAAUACCGUAUACGCCCUGUGGGGGAAAGAUUUAUCGGGGAAGGAUUAGCCCGCGUUGGAUUAGGUAGUUGGUGGGGUAAUGGCCUACCAAGCCGACGAUCCAUAGCUGGUUUGAGAGGAUGGUCAGCCACACUGGGACUGAGACACGGCCCAGACUCCUACGGGAGGCAGCAGUGGGGAAUCUUAGACAAUGGGGGCAACCCUGAUCGAGCCAUGCCGCGUGAGUGAUGAAAGCCUUAGGGUUGUAAAGCUCUUUCAGCUGGGAAGAUAAUGACGGUACCAGCAGAAGAAGCCCCGGCUAACUCCGUG